This is a long non-coding RNA of Dreissena polymorpha, 1970 nucleotides long. RefSeq lists it as uncharacterized. The transcript has 2 exons. NCBI's taxonomy places the organism in Eukaryota, Metazoa, Mollusca, Bivalvia, Myida, Dreissenidae. The record is from RefSeq and is a predicted model, not a curated record.
GGCGUCUCAUCAGGAUCCAAACCGUUUGCAAUUCUGAUAGUAUUCUGUGAAAAAAAUCAAAGAGAAUUUUAAUUUUAGAAAUUCAGCAGACGACAUUUUAGCUGACAACAAAUUUCCCAGCAUGCAAAGGGUAAAGAGUAACAGGCUUGUCAGGAGCUAUAAUGGCUGAAUAUUGUAUAAAACCCAUUUUUGCAUGACAUCGCUCAAAUAACGCAAAUGAAGUCAGCUGUUCCCUCUCGAAGUGUGCUUGCAUGUCACUGUAGUAUCAGCCGUGUGAUAUUGCAUUGAAUGGUUCCGACGUACCUACCUACCAACACUCAAAGCCUACCCUCCUCCCAUCAUCCCAGUGUGUUAUGCACAAGCAGACAAUAUCUUGCACCAAAUAUGACAUUAAAAUGUACCAAUAUAUUAUUAUAAUGUUUUCAUAUAUCAGACUGUUUACAUUUAUAGGCAAACUUUACUGUUUCUUAAUAUAUAGCACACAGACGUCAAUAUUUCUCAAAUUCGCACACAAAGAAUCUGAAAUCUCUAAAAAAAAUAAUAUAUGAAUUAAUUGCAUAAUUAUACAAUAAAAUUCUUCUUCAUACAUACAGUGCACUUAAGUGAAUAAAAAUUGAUUUAUUUUUACUGUGUAAAUAUAAUGGAUAUAUAUGUAUUCUGUGUGUAAAAUAUGUAAGAAAAAGACAUAAGAAUAUCAUGUUAAGUUUUAACUGAAUGCAUUUUUGUGUAUACCAUACUAAGUUUCAAUGUUAUUCAUGGUGGUCAAUUUAUGGAAUAUCAUUUUUAGCGAGGCUGUUUUCGGAGAAAACCCGAGCUAUUUUCAUAGCCAGCUCGUCGUCCGCUGUCCGCCGUAGGUGUUGUGCUAAAACCUUAACAUUGGCCAUAACUUUUUACGCCCCCCGGAUCGAAAGAUCGGGGGUGUAUUGUUUUUGGCCUGUCUGUCUGUCAUUCUGUCCCAAAACUUUAAUAUUACAGUAAAGUUUUGCAAUAACUUUUGAAAUAUUGAACAUAGCAACUUGAUAUUUGGCAUGCAUGUGUAUCUCAUGGAGCUGCACAUAUUGAGUGGUGAAAGGCUAAGGUCAAGGUUAUCCUUCAAGGUCAAAGGUCAAAAAAAAGAAGAAAAAGCAGCGCAUUAGGGGGCAUUGUGUUUCUGACAAACACAUCUCUUGUUCAAUAUUGAAGAUAGCACCUUGAUAUUUGGCAUGCAUGUGUAUCUCAUGGAGCUGCACAUUUUGAGUUCAAGGUGAACAUCAUCCUUCAAGGUCUAGGGUCGAAAAAACAAAGUCAAGGGAAGUAAUAAGCUUUAAAUGGACAUAAUUAUCUGACCUGCCCACGUAUAUAUUUUUGUUAAAUAAAUCAAAUCGGCGCAGUAGGCGGCAUUGUGUUUCUGACAAUCACAUUGUGGUAAAAGGUCAAGGUCAUCCUUUACAGUCUAUGGUAAAAAAUACAGAUUUAAGGGAAGUAAUAAGCUUUAAAAAGGGAGAAAAUUAUUAAAUAUUGAACAUAGCCACUUUAUAUAUUUGGCAUGCAUGUGUAUCUCAUGGAGCUGUACAUUUUGAGUGGUGAAUCUACAGUCACAGUAGUGGCUUUUAAUUAUUUGCUACUAAAAAUAGAGAUUUGUUACAGACAAUUAUUUUCAAGGGAAGUAAUUUAUAUAAUUAUAAAUCUCAUUUUAUAUAUUUCCUUACCAAGAAUUGAAGUUUUUUUCACAGUUACUGUACAGAUUUAUUAUUUUGAUUAUUUAUAACCCAAAUGAUUGAUUUGUCAAAGUUUCUUUUUAAAUGAUAUAAUUAUAAUUUCUUUGAUGUUCAUUACAUACCUGUGGACUUAUGUCCAUAGAUACAUGAUCAACUCUGGUUAUGAUUUUGUAAAAAAGAAAAAAACAACUCUGGUUAUGAUCUCUUUUUAACCACAGGCCUUGAUUGUCAGUGAUGUCCAACAUGGUCAUUAUUGACUGUGAGACCCUCCCC